RNAcentral lists this ribosomal RNA (460 nucleotides) under uncultured bacterium. Its description in RNAcentral is "partial 16S ribosomal RNA". It matches the Rfam family "Bacterial small subunit ribosomal RNA", at positions 338 to 795 of the family's 1533-position model. The record is from RNAcentral.
CCUACGUGUGGCUGCAGUGAGGAAUAUUGGUCAAUGGCCGGAAGGCUGAACCAGCCAUGCCGCGUGAAGGUCAGUGCCCUAUGGGCGUUAAACUUCUUUUGUGCGGGAGCAAUAAUGGUCACGUGUGGCCAGACGAGAGUACCGUACGAAUAAGCAUUGGCUAACUCCGUGCCAGCAGCCGCGGUGAUACGGGGGAGGCAAGCGUUAUCCGGAUUUAUUGGGUUUAAAGGGUUGGUAGCCUGGGGGGUAAGUCAGCGGUGAAAUGCCCCCGCUCAACGGGGUGAAGUGCCAUUGAUACUGCCUGGCUGGAAUGCGGAUGCGGUGGGAGGAAUGUGUGGUGUAGCGGUGAAAUGCAUAGAUAUCACACAGAACACCGAUUGCGAAGGCAUCUCACGAAUCCGCGAUUGACGCUGAUGCACGAAAGCGUGGGUAUCAAACAGGAUUAGAUACCCCUGUAGUC